GACGAACGCUGGCGGCGUGCUUAACACAUGCAAGUCGAACGGAAAGGCCCUGCUUUUGUGGGGUGCUCGAGUGGCGAACGGGUGAGUAACACGUGAGUAACCUGCCCUUGACUUUGGGAUAACUUCAGGAAACUGGGGCUAAUACCGGAUAGGAGCUCCUGCUGCAUGGUGGGGGUUGGAAAGUUUCGGCGGUUGGGGAUGGUCUCGCGGCUUAUCAGCUGGUUGGUGGGGUAGUGGCUUACCACGGCUUUGACGGGUAGCCGGCCUGAGAGGGUGACCGGCCACAUUGGGACUGGGAUACGGCCCAGACUCCUACGGGAGGCAGCAGUGGGGAAUAUUGCACAAUGGGCGGAAGACUGAUGCAGCAACGCCGCGUGCGGGAUGACGGCCUUCGGGUUGUAAACCGCUUUCGCCUGUGACGAAGCGUGAGUGACGGUAAUGGGUAAAGAAGCACCGGCUAACUACGUG
This 468-nucleotide ribosomal RNA is filed under the name uncultured bacterium. RNAcentral describes it as "partial 16S ribosomal RNA". It matches the Rfam family "Bacterial small subunit ribosomal RNA", at positions 28 to 507 of the family's 1533-position model. The record is from RNAcentral.